GCAAGUCGAACGUGAAGCAGGAGCUUGCUCCUGUGGAAAGUGGCAGACGGGUGAGUAACGCGUGGGAAUUUACCCAGUGGUUCGGAAUAACGCAUGGAAACGUGUGCUAAUACCGGAUACGCCCUCCGGGGGAAAGAUUUAUCGCCAUUGGAUGAGCCCGCGUCGGAUUAGCUAGUUGGUGAGGUAAUGGCUCACCAAGGCGACGAUCCGUAGCUGGUCUGAGAGGAUGAUCAGCCACACUGGGACUGAGACACGGCCCAGACUCCUACGGGAGGCAGCAGUGGGGAAUAUUGCGCAAUGGGGGAAACCCUGACGCAGCCAUGCCGCGUGAGUGAAGAAGGCCUUAGGGUUGUAAAACUCUUUCAGUGGUGAAGAUAAUGACGGUAGCCACAGAAGAAGCCCCGGCCAACUCCGUGCCAGCAGCCGCGGUAAUACGGAGGGGGCUAGCGUUGUUCGGAAUUACUGGGCGUAAAGCGCGCGUAGGCGGGCUGGUUAGUUGGGGGUGAAAUCCCGAGGCUCAACCUCGGAACUGCCCUCAAUACUGCCAGUCUUGAGUUCGAGAGAGGUGAGUGGAAUUCCUAGUGUAGAGGUGAAAUUCGUAGAUAUUAGGAAGAACACC
Molecule: ribosomal RNA, 619 nt
Filed under: uncultured bacterium
Lineage: Bacteria
Description: bacterial SSU rRNA
Rfam family: Bacterial small subunit ribosomal RNA
Source: RNAcentral